Molecule: ribosomal RNA, 679 nt
Filed under: Tricholoma matsutake
Lineage: Eukaryota; Fungi; Basidiomycota; Agaricomycetes; Agaricales; Tricholomataceae
Description: eukaryotic LSU rRNA
Rfam family: 5.8S ribosomal RNA (bases 266-419)
Source: RNAcentral
ACCUGCGGAAGGAUCAUUAUUGAAUAAAGCUUGGUUAGGUUGUCGCUGGCUCUCUGGGGCAUGUGCACGCCUGACGCCAAUCUUUUCACCACCUGUGCACAUUUUGUAGGCUUGGAUAAAUAUGUCUCGAGGAAGCUCGGUUUGAGGACUGCCGUGCUGCAAAAGCCAGGCUUUCCUUGUAUUUUUCCAGCCUAUGCAUUUUAUUAUACACUCGGUAUGUCAUGGAAUGUUAUUUGGUUGGCUUAAUUGCCAGUAAACCUUAUACAACUUUCAACAACGGAUCUCUUGGCUCUCGCAUCGAUGAAGAACGCAGCGAAAUGCGAUAAGUAAUGUGAAUUGCAGAAUUCAGUGAAUCAUCGAAUCUUUGAACGCACCUUGCGCUCCUUGGUAUUCCGAGGAGCAUGCCUGUUUGAGUGUCAUGAAAUUCUCAACCUUUUCAGCUUUUUGUUGAAUAGGCUUGGAUUUUGGGAGUUGUUGCAGGCUGCUCAGAAGUCUGCUCUCCUUAAAUGUAUUAGCGGGGCCCUUGUUGUCUAGCAUUUGGUGUGAUAAUUAUCUACGCCAUUGUGAACAAUGUAAUAGGUCGGCUUCUAAUCGUCUCGUAAAGAGACAAUCUCUGACAUUUUGACCUCAAAUCAGGUAGGACUACCCGCUGAACUUAAGCAUAUCAAUACGGAGGAAA